This 1372-nucleotide ribosomal RNA is filed under the name uncultured bacterium. RNAcentral's name for it is "bacterial SSU rRNA". It matches the Rfam family "Bacterial small subunit ribosomal RNA", at positions 28 to 1381 of the family's 1533-position model. The record is from RNAcentral.
GAUGAACGCUGGCGGCGUGCCUAAUACAUGCAAGUCGAGCGAACGGACGAGAAGCUUGCUUCUCUGAUGUUAGCGGCGGACGGGUGAGUAACACGUGGAUAACCUACCUAUAAGACUGGGAUAACUUCGGGAAACCGGAGCUAAUACCGGAUAAUAUUUUGAACCGCAUGGUUCAAAAGUGAAAGACGGUCUUGCUGUCACUUAUAGAUGGAUCCGCGCUGCAUUAGCUAGUUGGUAAGGUAACGGCUUACCAAGGCAACGAUGCAUAGCCGACCUGAGAGGGUGAUCGGCCACACUGGAACUGAGACACGGUCCAGACUCCUACGGGAGGCAGCAGUAGGGAAUCUUCCGCAAUGGGCGAAAGCCUGACGGAGCAACGCCGCGUGAGUGAUGAAGGUCUUCGGAUCGUAAAACUCUGUUAUUAGGGAAGAACAUAUGUGUAAGUAACUGUGCACAUCUUGACGGUACCUAAUCAGAAAGCCACGGCUAACUACGUGCCAGCAGCCGCGGUAAUACGUAGGUGGCAAGCGUUAUCCGGAAUUAUUGGGCGUAAAGCGCGCGUAGGCGGUUUUUUAAGUCUGAUGUGAAAGCCCACGGCUCAACCGUGGAGGGUCAUUGGAAACUGGAAAACUUGAGUGCAGAAGAGGAAAGUGGAAUUCCAUGUGUAGCGGUGAAAUGCGCAGAGAUAUGGAGGAACACCAGUGGCGAAGGCGACUUUCUGGUCUGUAACUGACGCUGAUGUGCGAAAGCGUGGGGAUCAAACAGGAUUAGAUACCCUGGUAGUCCACGCCGUAAACGAUGAGUGCUAAGUGUUAGGGGGUUUCCGCCCCUUAGUGCUGCAGCUAACGCAUUAAGCACUCCGCCUGGGGAGUACGACCGCAAGGUUGAAACUCAAAGGAAUUGACGGGGACCCGCACAAGCGGUGGAGCAUGUGGUUUAAUUCGAAGCAACGCGAAGAACCUUACCAAAUCUUGACAUCCUUUGACAACUCUAGAGAUAGAGCCUUCCCCUUCGGGGGACAAAGUGACAGGUGGUGCAUGGUUGUCGUCAGCUCGUGUCGUGAGAUGUUGGGUUAAGUCCCGCAACGAGCGCAACCCUUAAGCUUAGUUGCCAUCAUUAAGUUGGGCACUCUAAGUUGACUGCCGGUGACAAACCGGAGGAAGGUGGGGAUGACGUCAAAUCAUCAUGCCCCUUAUGAUUUGGGCUACACACGUGCUACAAUGGACAAUACAAAGGGCAGCGAAACCGCGAGGUCAAGCAAAUCCCAUAAAGUUGUUCUCAGUUCGGAUUGUAGUCUGCAACUCGACUACAUGAAGCUGGAAUCGCUAGUAAACGUAGAUCAGCAUGCUACGGUGAAUACGUUCCCGGGUCU